GACGAACGCUGGCGGCGUGCUUAACACAUGCAAGUCGAGCGGUAAGGCCCUUUCGGGGGUACACGAGCGGCGAACGGGUGAGUAACACGUGGGUGACCUGCCCUCAGCUCUGGGAUAAGCCUGGGAAACCGGGUCUAAUACUGGAUAUGACUCCAUGACGCAUGUUGUGGGGUGGAAAGCCUUGUGCGGCUGAGGAUGGGCCCGCGGCCUAUCAGCUUGUUGGUGGGGUGAGGCCUACCAAGGCGACGACGGGUAGCCGGCCUGAGAGGGCGACCGGCCACACUGGGACUGAGACACGGCCCAGACUCCUACGGGAGGCAGCAGUGGGGAAUCUUGCGCAAUGGGCAAAAGCCUGACGCAGCGACGCCGCGUGAGGGAUGACGGCCU
This 387-nucleotide ribosomal RNA is filed under the name uncultured bacterium. RNAcentral describes it as "bacterial SSU rRNA". It matches the Rfam family "Bacterial small subunit ribosomal RNA", at positions 28 to 417 of the family's 1533-position model. The record is from RNAcentral.